Molecule: non-coding RNA, 115 nt
Organism: Triticum aestivum (bread wheat)
Lineage: Eukaryota; Viridiplantae; Streptophyta; Magnoliopsida; Poales; Poaceae
Source: Rfam
CAACUAAUCCCUAUGUCCCAAAUUUCUUGUCUUAGAUUUGUCUAGAUACGGAUGUAUGAUACAUCCGUAUCUAGACAAAUCUAAGACAAGAAUUUUGGGACAGAGAGAGUAAUUU